UCACAUAAAAGGGGAGCUAAGGCACAAAAAUAGAUCAGAUUUUUGAAAGAAUUAGAUCCCUUGCCUAACAGAUAACAGAGAAUGGUGCAUCUUUUGGAGUCUUCAUCUCGAAUUUUUCAUGAAGACAUCACGAAACAAAUGACCCCUCCCCAUUCUGAACGUAGCUCUUCUUCUAGACAGAAGAGGCUCCCCCUCUCCUUUGGUUCCCAUAUAAAAAAAACACACUCACACACGCAUAGAUACAGCAAGGAGGUGGGGAAAGAAGCUAGGAUUUACAAAGAAAAUUCUCCGUCUAUUUUUAUUUUCCAUUUUCUCAGAUUUUUAGACAUAGUUUAAUUUCCAAAAAAAAAGAGAAAAAUCAAAAAGUAGAUCUCUGUUUCUCCAUCUUAAUUUCGUAUGCUUGUUCCAAAAAAUGGAAUUUGAUGGAAAUUUGGUGUGGAAUUUGUGUUUGGUUUGAGUUUGCGGUGCCGUUGGAGGUUCUGUUUAUGUCGAUCAAUUUCCGGCUGCGAUUCCGGCAGAAGUCCGCGAUUCCUGUUGCUCCGUUGCUGUUCCACGAUUGCUGAAAGAAGCCGCCAAAGCUUAGUUGUAAUCAAGUUCAUAUGUUGAAAGAUAUUUGCUCAUGAGGGCAUGGAUGACAAAACUUGGUUAAAGACCGCUAUUUUCCUAUACUUAAUUGCCAUUUCGAUUAGUAGAGUUUGCGGUGCCGUUGGAGGUUCUGUUUGUGUCGAUCAAUUUCCGGCUGUGAUUCCGGCAGAAGUCCGCGGUUCCUGUUGCUCCGUUGCUGUUCCACGAUUGCUGAAAGAAGCCGCCAAAGCUUAGUUGUAAUCAAGUUCAUAUAUUGAAAGAAAUUUGCUCAUGAGGGCAUGGAUGACAAAACUUGGUUAAAGACCGCUAUUUUCCUAUACUUAAUUGCCAUUUCGACUAGUAGAGGUAAUCAUGAUUUUUAUAUUAUUGUAAUUAUGAAUGACUACUUUGACUAGAUUUUAUUUUUUAUUUUUUUA
This is a long non-coding RNA of Nicotiana attenuata, 1001 nucleotides long. RefSeq lists it as uncharacterized. Lineage: Eukaryota; Viridiplantae; Streptophyta; Magnoliopsida; Solanales; Solanaceae. The record is from RefSeq and is a predicted model, not a curated record. The transcript has 2 exons.